CUUACACACACAGACAGACUGCUGAAUACACACACACAUACACUGCUGAAUACACACAAACCGCAAAAAACACACACAGACUGCUGAAUACACAUAUAUAGAGACUGCUGUAUAUAUACACAGGCUGCUGAAUACACACACAUACAGACUGCUCAACACACACACACAGGCUGCUGAAUACACACAUACAGACUGCUGAACACGCACACAGAC
Non-coding RNA from Pelobates cultripes (western spadefoot toad), 213 nucleotides. The record is from the annotation of a GenBank genome assembly. NCBI's taxonomy places the organism in Eukaryota, Metazoa, Chordata, Amphibia, Anura, Pelobatidae.